UCCCCAUUUUAUUAUUUUUAUUUUUAUUUUUAGCUGAAAAGACAUAAAGGCAGUCAGCCCAGUGGUGUUUCUGGAGAGGGAUUCCUUCAGAAAUGGAGAAGACAGAAAGCUGCGGAGGCAGAUAUAUGCAGCAUGUUCGAGUGAGCAUGAUAACCACAAGUGUGUGUCGAACUUUUCAUGACCUGAUGACUGUGUUUCCCAAUCCUGAUCCUGGAGAACCCCAGCACUGCACGGUUUUGGUGUCUCUCUUUCUGCCUUGGAGUCUUCACUGAUGAGCUGAUGAGUUGAAUCAGGAUUGUUUGAGGAUAACGCUGUAGCUCCAUCAUGCACAAGGACUCACCUCGUUAACUCUUUAUCCCCCGCACACACAGAAAUGGUCCCUGGAUCAGUGAUUAGACUUUGCAGUGGUUUGAUUUUUGCAGAAGAUGUAACUUUAUUUUAAUUAUAAGCUCAUAAUGAAUACAUUACAGAACCAGUGAUGAAAACAAUAGUUAAAAAUAGCGCUCCAUAUUAAAAAUAUAUUGCACACUUGACAUGCAUGUCUUCAUGGUGUUUUUUUGUGAGUUUGAAACAUUUACAUUGUGUUGUAUAACAUUUUGGUCACAACACUUUUUCCAGUGUUCUCUGAAAGACAUACUGUAUUUACUGUUUUGUUUUUUAAUAAAAGCAUUUUCAUUUGCAUACUGAAAAUAGUUAAUGUUUACAACAUAACUGCCUUUUUAUUCUUUAUGGUGGCAAAAACUUGGUGACAGAGGAUGCAGUGUAGUAAUUUGGGCAUGUUGUCUUUAAAUGAGUUUGACAUAUAAAUAAAUAAUGGAAGAUCCUUACAAAAAUAUGCAUGUUUAUUAUGCUUUAUGUAUUUAUUUGUUCAUUCAUUCAUUCAUUUAUAAUUUCAGUUUUUAUUCCUAGAGUUCAAAUGGUAGAGAAUGGUAAA
Long non-coding RNA from Carassius gibelio (silver crucian carp), 934 nucleotides. RefSeq lists it as uncharacterized. NCBI's taxonomy places the organism in Eukaryota, Metazoa, Chordata, Actinopteri, Cypriniformes, Cyprinidae. The transcript is spliced from 3 exons. The record is from RefSeq and is a predicted model, not a curated record.